AGCGUACACGGUGGAUGCCCUGGCAGUCAGAGGCGAUGAAGGACGUGCUAAUCUGCGAUAAGCGUCGGUAAGGUGAUAUGAACCGUUAUAACCGGCGAUUUCCGAAUGGGGAAACCCAGUGUGAUUCGUCACACUAUCAUUAACUGAAUCCAUAGGUUAAUGAGGCGAACCGGGGGAACUGAAACAUCUAAGUACCCCGAGGAAAAGAAAUCAACCGAGAUUCCCCCAGUAGCGGCGAGCGAACGGGGAGCAGCCCAGAGCCUGAAUCAGUGUGUGUGUUAGUGGAAGCGUCUGGAAAGGCGCGCGAUACAGGGUGACAGCCCCGUACACAAAAAUGCACAUGCUGUGAGCUCGAUGAGUAGGGCGGGACACGUGGUAUCCUGUCUGAAUAUGGGGGGACCAUCCUCCAAGGCUAAAUACUCCUGACUGACCGAUAGUGAACCAGUACCGUGAGGGAAAGGCGAAAAGAACCCCGGCGAGGGGAGUGAAAAAGAACCUGAAACCGUGUACGUACAAGCAGUGGGAGCACGCUUCGGCGUGUGACUGCGUACCUUUUGUAUAAUGGGUCAGCGACUUAUAUUCUGUAGCAAGGUUAACCGAAUAGGGGAGCCGAAGGGAAACCGAGUCUUAACUGGGCGUUAAGUUGCAGGGUAUAGACCCGAAACCCGGUGAUCUAGCCAUGGGCAGGUUGAAGGUUGGGUAACACUAACUGGAGGACCGAACCGACUAAUGUUGAAAAAUUAGCGGAUGACUUGUGGCUGGGGGUGAAAGGCCAAUCAAACCGGGAGAUAGCUGGUUCUCCCCGAAAGCUAUUUAGGUAGCGCCUCGUGAAUUCAUCUCCGGGGGUAGAGCACUGUUUCGGCAAGGGGGUCAUCCCGACUUACCAACCCGAUGCAAACUGCGAAUACCGGAGAAUGUUAUCACGGGAGACACACGGCGGGUGCUAACGUCCGUCGUGAAGAGGGAAACAACCCAGACCGCCAGCUAAGGUCCCAAAGUCAUGGUUAAGUGGGAAACGAUGUGGGAAGGCCCAGACAGCCAGGAUGUUGGCUUAGAAGCAGCCAUCAUUUAAAGAAAGCGUAAUAGCUCACUGGUCGAGUCGGCCUGCGCGGAAGAUGUAACGGGGCUAAACCAUGCACCGAAGCUGCGGCAGCGACGCUUAUGCGUUGUUGGGUAGGGGAGCGUUCUGUAAGCCUGUGAAGGUGUGCUGUGAGGCAUGCUGGAGGUAUCAGAAGUGCGAAUGCUGACAUAAGUAACGAUAAAGCGGGUGAAAAGCCCGCUCGCCGGAAGACCAAGGGUUCCUGUCCAACGUUAAUCGGGGCAGGGUGAGUCGACCCCUAAGGCGAGGCCGAAAGGCGUAGUCGAUGGGAAACAGGUUAAUAUUCCUGUACUUGGUGUUACUGCGAAGGGGGGACGGAGAAGGCUAUGUUGGCCGGGCGACGGUUGUCCCGGUUUAAGCGUGUAGGCUGGUUUUCCAGGCAAAUCCGGAAAAUCAAGGCUGAGGCGUGAUGACGAGGCACUACGGUGCUGAAGCAACAAAUGCCCUGCUUCCAGGAAAAGCCUCUAAGCAUCAGGUAACAUCAAAUCGUACCCCAAACCGACACAGGUGGUCAGGUAGAGAAUACCAAGGCGCUUGAGAGAACUCGGGUGAAGGAACUAGGCAAAAUGGUGCCGUAACUUCGGGAGAAGGCACGCUGAUAUGUAGGUGAAGUCCCUCGCGGAUGGAGCUGAAAUCAGUCGAAGAUACCAGCUGGCUGCAACUGUUUAUUAAAAACACAGCACUGUGCAAACACGAAAGUGGACGUAUACGGUGUGACGCCUGCCCGGUGCCGGAAGGUUAAUUGAUGGGGUCAGCGCAAGCGAAGCUCUUGAUCGAAGCCCCGGUAAACGGCGGCCGUAACUAUAACGGUCCUAAGGUAGCGAAAUUCCUUGUCGGGUAAGUUCCGACCUGCACGAAUGGCGUAAUGAUGGCCAGGCUGUCUCCACCCGAGACUCAGUGAAAUUGAACUCGCUGUGAAGAUGCAGUGUACCCGCGGCAAGACGGAAAGACCCCGUGAACCUUUACUAUAGCUUGACACUGAACAUUGAGCCUUGAUGUGUAGGAUAGGUGGGAGGCUUUGAAGUGUGGACGCCAGUCUGCAUGGAGCCGACCUUGAAAUACCACCCUUUAAUGUUUGAUGUUCUAACGUUGACCCGUGAUCCGGGUUGCGGACAGUGUCUGGUGGGUAGUUUGACUGGGGCGGUCUCCUCCUAAAGAGUAACGGAGGAGCACGAAGGUUGGCUAAUCCUGGUCGGACAUCAGGAGGUUAGUGCAAUGGCAUAAGCCAGCUUGACUGCGAGCGUGACGGCGCGAGCAGGUGCGAAAGCAGGUCAUAGUGAUCCGGUGGUUCUGAAUGGAAGGGCCAUCGCUCAACGGAUAAAAGGUACUCCGGGGAUAACAGGCUGAUACCGCCCAAGAGUUCAUAUCGACGGCGGUGUUUGGCACCUCGAUGUCGGCUCAUCACAUCCUGGGGCUGAAGUAGGUCCCAAGGGUAUGGCUGUUCGCCAUUUAAAGUGGUACGCGAGCUGGGUUUAGAACGUCGUGAGACAGUUCGGUCCCUAUCUGCCGUGGGCGCUGGAGAACUGAGGGGGGCUGCUCCUAGUACGAGAGGACCGGAGUGGACGCAUCACUGGUGUUCGGGUUGUCAUGCCAAUGGCACUGCCCGGUAGCUAAAUGCGGAAGAGAUAAGUGCUGAAAGCAUCUAAGCACGAAACUUGCCCCGAGAUGAGUUCUCCCUGACUCCUUGA
Molecule: ribosomal RNA, 2787 nt
Filed under: Escherichia coli
Lineage: Bacteria; Pseudomonadati; Pseudomonadota; Gammaproteobacteria; Enterobacterales; Enterobacteriaceae
Description: bacterial LSU rRNA
Rfam family: Bacterial large subunit ribosomal RNA
Source: RNAcentral